RNAcentral lists this small nuclear RNA (152 nucleotides) under Triticum aestivum (bread wheat). RNAcentral's name for it is "snRNA U1". It matches the Rfam family "U1 spliceosomal RNA". Rfam says of the family: U1 is a small nuclear RNA (snRNA) component of the spliceosome (involved in pre-mRNA splicing). Its 5' end forms complementary base pairs with the 5' splice junction, thus defining the 5' donor site of an intron. Lineage: Eukaryota; Viridiplantae; Streptophyta; Magnoliopsida; Poales; Poaceae. RNAcentral also lists the same sequence under 1 other name. The record is from Rfam by way of RNAcentral.
UUACUUACCUGGACGGGGUCGCCGGCCGAUCAAGAAGGGGUGUUGCCUAGGUCAAUGACUCGCAUUGCACUUGGCGAGCGCGUUGGUCUAUCAUCUCCCCUCGGGGGAGAGUAAACGCCGUAGUUUAUGAUAGAGGAGGUACGUGGCCUCUG